UACGAAGGGGGCUAGCGUUGUUCGGAUUUACUGGGCGUAAAGCGCACGUAGGCGGAUCGUUAAGUCAGGGGUGAAAUCCUGGGGCUCAACCUCAGAACUGCCUUUGAUACUGGCGAUCUCGAGUCCGGAAGAGGUGAGUGGAACUCCUAAUGUAGAGGUGGAAUUCGUAGAUAUUAGGAAGAACACCAGUGGCGAAGGCGGCUCACUGGUCCGGUACUGACGCUGAGGUGCGAAAGCGUGGGGAGCAAACGGG
RNAcentral lists this ribosomal RNA (253 nucleotides) under uncultured bacterium. Its description in RNAcentral is "partial 16S ribosomal RNA". It matches the Rfam family "Bacterial small subunit ribosomal RNA", at positions 524 to 776 of the family's 1533-position model. The record is from RNAcentral.